Long non-coding RNA from Zingiber officinale, 1238 nucleotides. RefSeq lists it as uncharacterized. Lineage: Eukaryota; Viridiplantae; Streptophyta; Magnoliopsida; Zingiberales; Zingiberaceae. The record is from RefSeq and is a predicted model, not a curated record. The transcript has 4 exons.
CCCUUCUCCCAACUUCUAUCUUCCGAUCAUUUUUGAUCCCGAACCUGCUCCCAACUCCUCAUCUCACACGGCCUUCUCCAUCCAACUCCUCUCCGGCAAACUCCUCUCCGGCCUCCAGAUCCGGGGCGUCGGCGAACUCCUACAUCGGGAGCCUCAAAAGCUUGACCUUCAAGAGCGAGAUCAGAUACGAUAGUUUGCUUUAUGCCCAAUUCAUCUUGUAAACACAUGUUAAUACUUGAUCCUCUCGUUUCCCUCCCAGUGAUUCCAGCAAUUUGGAGGAUGGACAAAGACGAUUCAGUUUUGCCUCGAUUGAUUUAUCUCUUCGGCGUGCUCGAUAUUCCCCACAAGCUAUUUAAAACUUUGACGCUUUGAUUUUUCUACUGGAAUCGAAGGCUUUUCUUAUUUUCUUCUAAAUCUCGACAUCUGAUCCUACUAAUGUUGCAACAAAUCAUGGUUCAUGCUACUUUGCCUUUUGAGACGAUCCAGAUGAAGUUAAAGCAAGACUCAAGUAUUGGGCACAAACAGUAGCAUGUACUCUACGGUUAUGCAGCUGAAGUUGUGCCUAUCCUUUAAAGUUCAUCUACAUCCGAAAGAAGCAAGAUCCAUGCAAUCCGCUGUAAGAGCUAUCCUCUAGUGUUUACAAUCAAUGCUGAAGAUGGCAACUAAAGUCCCUUCACAAUAAACAGAGAUGAAUAAAAGUAAUGGUUCAUUAUAACCUUUGAGGAAGAAUAACUCUACAAGUUCAUGUACUAUACAUGCCGAAUAAAUGAUUCUUCUUCUUAUAAAUGUUGUCCAUGUACCUCAGUGGUGAUCCAUUGGUAAUUUGUGUUCAUGUUGAUGAAUCUGUAGACUAGUUUUGGUUCAUGGUCUUGUUUUAUCAUGGCUAUCAUAGUUCAGUUAGCAGGUGCCUGAACUCUGAAGCUUGGGAACUCCCAAUUCUAUACUGGUCGGGAUCUAGAAGGAAAGCCAUCGGGUUAAUUUCUUUUCCCAGACCUUCCUCAGGAAAACUUGAUACUCCUCAGCGACUAAGGAAACAGUAUCAUUGCAGAUUCAAGCUUCUGGUUGGCAUGAUCUAAUUGAGACUGAAAGGAGAUUUGCAUAUGUACUCAAUGCUGAACCAAUCUAGGUUUGAUCCAACCACAGAAAGAACCUUGUUGAUACUCAAAUAAUCUUGAAAUGGUAGCUUCAAUGUUUAUACUAUUAUAUAAUAAAUCACUUAGAGUUGACGGUGUAAGAGG